RNAcentral lists this transfer RNA (75 nucleotides) under Sinorhizobium phage Phosso. Its description in RNAcentral is "tRNA-Gly". It matches the Rfam family "tRNA". Rfam says of the family: Transfer RNA (tRNA) molecules are approximately 80 nucleotides in length. Their secondary structure includes four short double-helical elements and three loops (D, anti-codon, and T loops). RNAcentral also lists the same sequence under 1 other name. The record is from RNAcentral.
GCGGGUAUGAUGUAAUGGUUAGCUUGAAACGUUGCCAACGUUUACGUGGGAGUUCGAUUCUCCCUACCCGCUCCA